Molecule: long non-coding RNA, 1055 nt
Filed under: Marmota monax (woodchuck)
Lineage: Eukaryota; Metazoa; Chordata; Mammalia; Rodentia; Sciuridae
Source: RNAcentral
AAAAAGUAUUUUCAGAGAUAAGGAGGAACAUUUCAUAACCAUAAUAGGAUAACUUCUUCAAGAAAGUAUAACAAUCCUAAAUGUGUAUGUACCUAAUAACAAAAUUUCAAAAUACAUGAAGUAAAAAUUAAUAAAACUAGAAAGACAAAUCCAUAAUCAUAUUUGGAGAUUUUAAGCCCUCUUACUUUGCUGGAAGAAGUAGUGAUAUAGAAAGCUUAACAACACUAUCAGCCCCCUUGAACUACUUGUUAUUUAUAGAGAACUAUACACAAAAAUGACAAGUAGAAAAUUAAUAAGGAUAGAAUAUAUUCUGUCAUAAAAUAAGCUUUGAGAAAUUUUAAAAUUUUGAAAUCAUGCAGACUGUUGUUUCCUGCAUGAUUUAUUACAUUAGAAAUCACUUUAAGAUAUAUAGAAUCCCACCCCCAUGUCUCAACUACUUUAAAAUUAAAUGGUACACUUAUAAAUAUCUCACAGAUCAAAUAAGAAACCACAAGAAAAGCAAAUAAAAAGUGCUUUGAACUAAGUGAUAAAGCUUAAAAUAUCAGAAUCUCUGGAAUGAAAUAGUACUCAGAUGAACACUUAUAACAAAGUGUUUGUAUCAGAAAGAAGCUUGAUUAACAAAUUAUUUUCAAAUUAGGUCGUAGGAAGGAAAAAAAAAGAGUAGGAGCAGAAAUAUGUGAAACAGAAAAGAAAUAAUACAACUAAAAGUUGGUAAAAAUCUAACAAGUCAAAUCAAGAAAAAAUAUUAGUGGAAAGGGAGCUAUCAAAACAACCCUUCAGAUGCUAAAAAUGUAUUAAGGCAACAUUACAAUCAUAUAAGUACAAUUGUAUAGCUUAUAUAACUUGUUCUAUUUUAGAGGAUAGAAACCCCUGAGAUCCAUGUAAGUGGUAUGUUUUUUCCCAUCCUUUCAUUUUCAGUCUGUGGAUGUCUUUGCCUAUGAGGUGAGUCUUUUGGAGACAAUAUGUUGUUGGGUCUUGUUUUUUAAUGCAGUCUGCCAAUCUAUAUCUUUUGAUUGAUGGAUUUAGGCCUUUAAUAUUUCAAGGCUAUUAUUGAG